Molecule: ribosomal RNA, 403 nt
Filed under: uncultured bacterium
Lineage: Bacteria
Description: partial 16S ribosomal RNA
Rfam family: Bacterial small subunit ribosomal RNA
Source: RNAcentral
GACGAACGCUGGCGGCGUGCCUAAUACAUGCAAGUCGAACGCAGUGGGGACGGGUGAGUAACACGUGGGUAACCUCCCAUCAGAGGGGAUCACCCUUGGCCACAGGUGCUAAACCGCUCCUGAUGGCUGGACCCGCGGUGCAUUAGCUAGUUGGUGAGGUAACGGCGCACCAAGGCCACGAUGCAUAGACGACCUGAGAGGGUGAGCGGCCACAAUGGGACGGCGACACGGCCCAGACUCCGACGGGAGGCAGCAGUAGGGAAUCUUCGGCAAUGGACGAAAGUCUGACCGAGCAACGCCGCGUGAGUGAAGAAGGUUGUCGGAUCGUAAAACUCUGUGGUUAGAGAAGCGGUAUCUAACCAGAAAGCCACGGCUAACUCCGUGCCAGCAGCCGCGGUAAUAC